This 492-nucleotide ribosomal RNA is filed under the name uncultured bacterium. RNAcentral's name for it is "bacterial SSU rRNA". It matches the Rfam family "Bacterial small subunit ribosomal RNA", at positions 8 to 518 of the family's 1533-position model. The record is from RNAcentral.
AGAGUUGAUCAUGGCUCAGGACGAACGCUGGCGGCGUGCCUAACACAUGCAAGUCGAGCGAGGAGAUCCUUCGGGAUGAUCCUAGCGGCGGACGGGUGAGUAACACGUGGGCAACCUGCCUCAUAGAGAGGAAUAGCCUUCCGAAAGGGAGAUUAAUACCUCAUAACAUUGCAGUUUCGCAUGGAACAGCAAUUAAAGGAGUAAUCCGCUAUGAGAUGGGCCCGCGGCGCAUUAGCUAGUUGGUGAGGUAACGGCUCACCAAGGCGACGAUGCGUAGCCGACCUGAGAGGGUGAUCGGCCACAUUGGGACUGAGACACGGCCCAGACUCCUACGGGAGGCAGCAGUGGGGAAUAUUGCACAAUGGGGGAAACCCUGAUGCCAGCAACGCCGCGUGAGUGAUGACGGCCUUCGGGUUGUAAAGCUCUGUCUUCAGGGACGAUAAUGACGGUACCUGAGGAGGAAGCUACGGCUAACUACGUGCCAGCCGCGGC